Molecule: long non-coding RNA, 819 nt
Filed under: Panax ginseng (ginseng)
Lineage: Eukaryota; Viridiplantae; Streptophyta; Magnoliopsida; Apiales; Araliaceae
Description: long non-coding RNA (PGIN_LNC007849)
Source: RNAcentral
UCAGACAUUCAAAUUCAUUGAAGUUUGAUCCAAAUAAUUACAAGUUGAAUAAAUAAUCUCAAAUUCAAUGACUCAAUUAAUUCAUUCAAAGUCUUCACUCUUUAAUUAACUUUUCACUACAAGAAAAACCUUUAUCUUUGACGAAAUUAUUCUCAACGAAUUUAAUUCUGUCGAAAUAAGCCUAUUUACGACGAAAAUUUGCGUAAGUUCCUCAAAAAUAAGCUUAACAGAAUUACGUUGAAAAUAGAAUACCCUCAUUGGCGCAAAUUAGCAUAUCCAUCACAAAAGAUACACAUAAUAUAAAAAAAUUAUAACCACUCUUGAAGAGAACAAAAAUGAAAUUAAGCACCAAUAAUAUAAAAAGAAAAACUCUUACAAAAUUCAAACCACCAGUAAUAAUAAUAAUAAUAAUAAUAAUAAAAUCCGAUAUAUAAUCCUUUCAAGACAUUGCCAAAGGUCUUUAGUUGCCCUAAUGGUAAUUAAAUUACCAUCAUGACUUUACAAUCAAUCUUCUUAAUUAUAUACGAUCAUCUUCAUCAUCCUCUUCGCCGCCAAUGCCGCCGUCGUCCGUUGCCGCCGCACCGGCCUCGGAACCACCCAUCUGAACUCCGGCAGCUGACACCAAGUGCUGAGAGGGAAACUCAAUUAAUAUAUAGAGUGGAGAAAGAAAGCUAGCUAGAGUUCUUGAAAUUUAGUGAGGAGAGGGUAUGGGUUUAGCAGUGGCUUUUUUGUAGGAAGGAUGGUGGGAAGAGUAUCUUCUUGGCAUAUACGUUGAAGCAUUACUUUUCCCAUUUACUUUUUAAUAAAUUUUUCAAUAUU